AACGAACGCUGGCGGCAUGCCUAACACAUGCAAGUCGAACGAGACCUUCGGGUCUAGUGGCGCACGGGUGCGUAACGCGUGGGAACCUGCCCUUAGGUUCGGAAUAACUCCCCGAAAGGGGUGCUAAUACCGGAUAAUGUCUUCGGACCAAAGAUUUAUCGCCUUUGGGUGGGCCCGCGUUGGAUUAGCUAGUUGGUAGGGAAAAAGCCUACCAAGGCGACGAUCCAUAGCUGGUCUGAGAGGAUGAUCAGCCACACUGGGACUGAGACACGGCCCAGACUCCUACGGGAGGCAGCAGUGGGGAAUAUUGGACAAUGGGCGAAAGCCUGAUCCAGCAAUGCCGCGUGAGUGAUGAAGGCCUUAGGGUUGUAAAGCUCUUUUAACCGGGAUGAUAAUGACAGUACCGGGAGAAUAAGCUCCGGCUAACUCCGUG
This 433-nucleotide ribosomal RNA is filed under the name uncultured bacterium. RNAcentral's name for it is "partial 16S ribosomal RNA". It matches the Rfam family "Bacterial small subunit ribosomal RNA", at positions 29 to 507 of the family's 1533-position model. The record is from RNAcentral.